RNAcentral lists this ribosomal RNA (468 nucleotides) under uncultured bacterium. Its description in RNAcentral is "partial 16S ribosomal RNA". It matches the Rfam family "Bacterial small subunit ribosomal RNA", at positions 28 to 507 of the family's 1533-position model. The record is from RNAcentral.
GACGAACGCUGGCGGCGUGCUUAACACAUGCAAGUCGAACGGAAAGGCCCUGCUUUUGUUGGGUUCUCGAGUGGCGAACGGGUGAGUAACACGUGAGUAACCUGCCCCUGACUUUGGGAUAACUUUAGGAAACUGGGGCUAAUAUCGGAUAGGAGCUCCUGCUGCAUGGUGGGGGUUGGAAAGUUUCGGCGGUUGGGGAUGGACUCGCGGCUUAUCAGCUUGUUGGUGGGGUAGUGGCUUACCAAGGCUUUGACGGGUAGCCGGCAUGAGAGGGUGACCGGCCACAUUGGGACUGAGGUACGGCGCAGACUCCUACGGGAGGCAGCAGUGGGGAAUAUUGCACAAUGGGAGGAAGCCUGAUGCAACGACGCCGCGUGCGGGAUGACGGGCUUCGGGUUGUAAACCGCUUUCGCCUGUGACGAAGCGUGAGUGACGGUAAUGGGUAAAGAAGCACCGGCUAACUACGUG